UUUCUCUUUGGCAGCAUAUAAGCCAGAAGUGGGAUGUACAGAGAAGAUUAACAUGGCCCCUAAGCAAGGAUGAUGGGUAAAUUUCUAAAGCAUUCCAUAUUUGU
Small nuclear RNA from Psammomys obesus (fat sand rat), 104 nucleotides. The record is from RefSeq and is a predicted model, not a curated record. NCBI's taxonomy places the organism in Eukaryota, Metazoa, Chordata, Mammalia, Rodentia, Muridae.